Triticum urartu is the source of this 1458-nucleotide non-coding RNA. The record is from RefSeq and is a predicted model, not a curated record. Lineage: Eukaryota; Viridiplantae; Streptophyta; Magnoliopsida; Poales; Poaceae.
CCGUUUCAAUGUAUAUUAUUGUCACAUUAUAUAAAAAAUAUGGUAUCAACAUCUUGUAAUUGUUCCAGCGUGUGAAAGUGUACCGUUUGAGGGAUGGAGGCAAAUGGGAUGAUCAGGGGACAGGGCACGUUGCUGUUGACUACAUCGAGGGUUCAAAAGAACCUGGUUUGACUGUUUUGGAUGAAGAAGACAACGAAACACUGCUUGUCCACAAUAUUACAUCUGAAGAUAUCUACAGAAAGCAAGAAGAAACAAUCAUCUCAUGGAGGGAUCCAGAAGCAGCAACAGAAUUAGCAUUGAGCUUUCAGGAGGCUGCAGGGUGCUCCUACAUAUGGGACAACAUCUGUGAUAUUCAGAGAAACCUUCAGUUUAGUAACCUUGGCGGUCUUGAAGUUGGUCCUCGUCCAGCUUCGGAACAUCUAGAAGCCUCUAGAGUAUUGCAUUCACAUGAUGAGUCCUUUCGCUCUGUUAACGGUGAACUGAGGGAACUUCCACCUGUUGAUUUGUCCAAUCUUCCUUUGAUUUUGAAGACUAUAUUGGAGGGUGGCAUUACAGAUCAAAUGCGUGUGGCCGAGUUGAUAACACAAGAUGUAAGUAUCUAGUCUUUGGGUGUGGCAUGGUCCCAUGUACCAUAUAUUUUUGCUGUCAUUAGCUAGUGUACCAAUUUUCUUGGUAGAACAAACAUUUCAUUUAAUCAUUAACGCGAAACUCAUCUUUGCUCCCUCAGAAGAAUUGUGGGGUUGGGAAGCCCACCUGCUGUGAGAAAAUCCUAUAAAGGGAUUAGUGAUUAGUCUGCUCCCUUCUUGGGUUGAUUAAAAUGAAAAUUGAAAUCACCUCUUUUUGUGUUACAUGACCUAUUUGUUUAGGAGACCUCUUUGUGCUGUGCCCGGCAUUUAUUUUACAUAGCAACUACACUGCUUUACCUGUUUAAAGAGCACUUUUGGCGCAAUUGUAGCAGUUUUUUUUUGGUAUGCCCUCAUUUGCUCCAUUUGUUGUUAGGUGUCUACCAAUGGAAGUGACUGUGUUUGAGAUUUAAAAUGAAAUGAUUUCACUUGAAGUUCUUUCAGAAUAAUUUGUAUGAUGAUCUGUUCUGCAGAUGAUUCUUGCACAGUAGAUCCCGAGAGACUUUCUGAUUUAUCGUCUAAUCUAUAUUUUGAUGUAGGAACUGGUGUUUUGGAUCCGCUUUAUUCCAUUUAUACACAGAUGUUUGCUUGAGAGUCUUCUUUCUGAUUUGUUUUCACAAGAUAACUUUGUUGGACAUCAGUUAGAUAGAAAAUGCAAUGUUGAUCUACUGGGUAAUUUAAGAUGUUACCUUCAGUUGCGCCAUCAUGGAUUCAUAAUGCUCCAUGAUGGUGGAAUGACUUUUUGCUACUUAGCUACCUUACAUGUCCUAAUAAGGAUUGGUUAAUAACUAAUCCAUGCUUCCUUAUUGCUGACAUUGAUUGUUAUCCGUCUACG